Molecule: long non-coding RNA, 341 nt
Organism: Dipodomys spectabilis (banner-tailed kangaroo rat)
Lineage: Eukaryota; Metazoa; Chordata; Mammalia; Rodentia; Heteromyidae
Exons: 3
Source: RefSeq, a predicted model, not a curated record
CAUCAACGCCACGGGCUGCGCUCCCUUCGGGGAAGGGGCCGGGCCCAUCCGGUUGGCCGGGCUGAGCUGUCGGGGGCGGAGCCGCCUGUGUGGCAGUGCCGUUCCCCCGGCUGCAAGCACGAGGACGACGCGAGCGUGGCCUGCGACGUUUUCUCCAGAGGACAGAAUAUCGUCCACCGGAUAUGAUACCAGAUGAACUCCAGCUCAAAGCCAGAUGGCCUGAAUGCCCUCAUUUCCUUAGUGUGGCCUGUAAGAAACCAAGAAAACCAAGAAAACCCAGCUCAUUCCCGGCCAACCAAGGUCCUGUGUCCAAGCCCGACAGACACACGGACACACCGUGG